Molecule: transfer RNA, 74 nt
Organism: Neurospora tetrasperma FGSC 2509
Lineage: Eukaryota; Fungi; Ascomycota; Sordariomycetes; Sordariales; Sordariaceae
Rfam family: tRNA
About the family: Transfer RNA (tRNA) molecules are approximately 80 nucleotides in length. Their secondary structure includes four short double-helical elements and three loops (D, anti-codon, and T loops). Further hydrogen bonds mediate the characteristic L-shaped molecular structure. tRNAs have two regions of fundamental functional importance: the anti-codon, which is responsible for specific mRNA codon recognition, and the 3' end, to which the tRNAs corresponding amino acid is attached (by aminoacyl-tRNA synthetases). tRNAs cope with the degeneracy of the genetic code in two manners: having more than one tRNA (with a specific anti-codon) for a particular amino acid; and 'wobble' base-pairing, i.e. permitting non-standard base-pairing at the 3rd anti-codon position.
Source: Rfam
UCCUUCGUGGCGCAAUUGGCUAGCGCGUCAGACUGUUAAUCUGGAGGUUGUAAGUUCGAUCCUUACCGAAGGAG